UGAGCCAUUAUGUAGUGAUUAUAUUAAAAUAGUUUAAUUGCUAGCUUUAUCCAGUGGCCAGGUAAGUUUCUACAGAAUGAAUACAAAAAAUGUUUUACAUAAAUGUUAAAGGCACGCCUUAAAAUUAAAUGCCCAUUGCAUUUUGAAGUUAUCUAUUACAUGUUCUUACAAGCUAAUGCAUUUUUAAAGUAUGAUACUUUGUAAAGCACUGUAUAAUAUGAAAACAUGAGAAUUCUCAUGAUCUGUC
Long non-coding RNA from Pipistrellus kuhlii (Kuhl's pipistrelle), 247 nucleotides. RefSeq lists it as uncharacterized. NCBI's taxonomy places the organism in Eukaryota, Metazoa, Chordata, Mammalia, Chiroptera, Vespertilionidae. The transcript has 4 exons. The record is from RefSeq and is a predicted model, not a curated record.